AACGCGUGGGUAAUCUACCUCUUGGCGGGGGACAACUUUCCGAAAGGGAAGCUAAUACCGCAUAAGCUCACGACCCCUGCGGGGGUUGAGAGAAAGAUGGCCUCUCCUUGGAAGCUAUCUCCGAGAGAUGAGCCCGCGUCCCAUCAGCUAGUUGGUGAGGUAAUGGCUCACCAAGGCUAAGACGGGUAGCUGGUCUGAGAGGAUGAUCAGCCACACUGGUACUGAAACACGGACCAGACUCCUACGGGAGGCAGCAGUGAGGAAUAUUGGGCAAUGGGCGAAAGCCUGACCCAGCUACGCCGCGUGAGUGAUGAAGGCCUUCGGGUUGUAAAGCUCUGUGGGGAGGGACGAAAAAAGCCUGGCUCGAAUAGGACCAGGCCUUGACGGUACCUCCUUAGCAAGCACCGGCUAACUCUGUGCCAGCAGCCGCGGUAA
Molecule: ribosomal RNA, 435 nt
Filed under: uncultured delta proteobacterium
Lineage: Bacteria; Deltaproteobacteria
Description: bacterial SSU rRNA
Rfam family: Bacterial small subunit ribosomal RNA
Source: RNAcentral